UAGGGAAUCUUCCGCAAUGGGCGAAAGCUUGACGGAGCAACGCCGCGUGAGUGAUGAAGGUCUUCGGAUCGUAAAACUCUGUUAUUAGGGCAGAACAAAUGUGUAAGUAACUAUGCACGUCUUGACGGUACCUAAUCAGAAAGCCACGGCUAACUACGUGCCAGCAGCCGCGGUAAUACGUAGGUGGCAAGCGUUAUCCGGAAUUAUUGGGCGUAAAGCGCGCGUAGGCGGUUUUUUAAGUCCGAUGUGAAAGCCCACGGCUCAACCGUGGAGGGUCAUUGGAAACUGGAAAACUUGAGUGCAGAAGGGGAAAGUGGAAUUCCAUGUGUAGCGGUGAAAUGCGCAGAGAUAGGGGGGAACACCAGUGGCGAAGGCGACUUUCUGGUCUGUAACUGACGCUGAUGUGCGAAAGCGUGGGGAUCAAACAGG
RNAcentral lists this ribosomal RNA (429 nucleotides) under Actinomycetes bacterium. RNAcentral describes it as "Actinobacteria bacterium partial 16S ribosomal RNA". It matches the Rfam family "Bacterial small subunit ribosomal RNA", at positions 355 to 776 of the family's 1533-position model. The record is from RNAcentral. Lineage: Bacteria; Bacillati; Actinomycetota; Actinomycetes.